This 497-nucleotide ribosomal RNA is filed under the name uncultured bacterium. RNAcentral describes it as "partial 16S ribosomal RNA". It matches the Rfam family "Bacterial small subunit ribosomal RNA", at positions 28 to 507 of the family's 1533-position model. The record is from RNAcentral.
GAUGAACGCUGGCGGCGUGCCUAAUACAUGCAAGUCGAGCGAACAGAUAAGGAGCUUGCUCCUUUGACGUUAGCGGCGGACGGGUGAGUAACACGUGGGUAACCUACCUAUAAGACUGGAAUAACUCCGGGAAACCGGGGCUAAUGCAGGAUAACAUGUUGAACCGCAUGGUUCUACAGUGAAAGGCGGCUUUGCUGUCACUUAUAGAUGGACCCGCGCCGUAUUAGCUAGUUGGUGAGGUAACGGCUCACCAAGGCAACGAUACGUAGCCGACCUGAGAGGGUGAUCGGCCACACUGGAACUGAGACACGGUCCAGACUCCUACGGGAGGCAGCAGUAGGGAAUCUUCCGCAGUGGGCGAAAGCCUGACGGAGCAACGCCGCGUGAGUGAUGAAGGUCUUCGGAUCGUAAAACUCUGUUAUUAGGGAAGAACAAAUGCGUAAGUAACUGUGCGCGUCUUGACGGUACCUAAUCAGAAAGCCACGGCUAACUACGUG